GACAUAGGUCGCGAGCGUUAUUCGGAAUUACUAGGCGUAAAGCGAGUGUAGGCGGACUCUUAAGUCUGACGUUAAAUCUCCGGGCUUAACUCGGAGCUGUCGUCGGAUACUGAGAGCCUCGAAUGGAGUAGGGGGCAGGGGAAUUCCUGGUGUAGCGGUGAAAUGCGUAGAUAUCAGGAGGAACACCUAUGGCGAAAGCACCUGCCUGGGCUUCUAUUGACGCUAAGACUCGAAAGCUGGGGGAGCAAACAGG
RNAcentral lists this ribosomal RNA (253 nucleotides) under uncultured bacterium. Its description in RNAcentral is "partial 16S ribosomal RNA". It matches the Rfam family "Bacterial small subunit ribosomal RNA", at positions 524 to 776 of the family's 1533-position model. The record is from RNAcentral.